AUUGAACGCUGGCGGCAUGCCUUACACAUGCAAGUCGAACGGCAGCAUAGGAGCUUGCUCCUGAUGGCGAGUGGCGAACGGGUGAGUAAUAUAUCGGAACGUGCCCUAGAGUGGGGGAUAACUAGUCGAAAGACUAGCUAAUACCGCAUACGAUCUACGGAUGAAAGUGGGGGAUCGCAAGACCUCAUGCUCCUGGAGCGGCCGAUAUCUGAUUAGCUAGUUGGUGGGGUAAAAGCCUACCAAGGCAACGAUCAGUAGCUGGUCUGAGAGGACGACCAGCCACACUGGGACUGAGACACGGCCCAGACUCCUACGGGAGGCAGCAGUGGGGAAUUUUGGACAAUGGGGGCAACCCUGAUCCAGCAAUGCCGCGUGAGUGAAGAAGGCCUUCGGGUUGUAAAGCUCUUUUGUCAGGGAAGAAACGGUAGUAGCGAAUAACUACUACUAAUGACGGUACUGUAGGAAUAAGGAUCGGCUAACUCCGUGCCAGCCGCCGCAGUAA
This 502-nucleotide ribosomal RNA is filed under the name uncultured bacterium. RNAcentral's name for it is "partial 16S ribosomal RNA". It matches the Rfam family "Bacterial small subunit ribosomal RNA", at positions 30 to 523 of the family's 1533-position model. The record is from RNAcentral.